RNAcentral lists this ribosomal RNA (443 nucleotides) under uncultured prokaryote. RNAcentral's name for it is "bacterial SSU rRNA". It matches the Rfam family "Bacterial small subunit ribosomal RNA", at positions 355 to 796 of the family's 1533-position model. The record is from RNAcentral.
UGAGGAAUAUUGGACAAUGGGGGCAACCCUGAUCCAGCCAUGCCGCGUGCAGGAAGACGGCCCUCUGGGUUGUAAACUGCUUUUAUCAGGGGAUAAAGGGGUACUAUACGUACCUUUGCAGGUACCUGAGGAAUAAGCACCGGCUAACUACGUGCCAGCAGCCGCGGUAAUACGUAGGGUGCAAGCGUUGUCCGGAUUUAUUGGGUUUAAAGGGUGCGCAGGCGGCCUGUUAAGUUAGUAGUUAAAGACAGCGGCUCAACCGUUGGUGGGCUAUUAAAACUGGCAGGCUUGAGUGUGUCAGAGGGAAUUAGAAUGCGUGGUGUAGCGGUGAAAUGCAUAGAUAUCACGCAGAAUACCGAUUGCGAAGGCAGAUUUCUAUGACAUAACUGACGCUGAGGCACGAAAGCGUGGGGAGCGAACAGGAUUAGAUACCCCCGUAGUCC